GUAGGGGUCGCCGGAACUGUAGGUGUAGCGGUGAAAUGCGUAGAUAUCUACAGGAACACCAAAGACGAAGGUAGGCGACUGGGCUGGUUCUGACGCUCAGGCACGAAAGCGUGGGGAGCAAACAGGAUUAGAUACCCUGGUAGUCCACGCCGUAAACGAUGUGUACUAGAUCUCGGAGGUUCUGACACCAUCGGGAUCGAAGCAAAAGUGUUAAGUACACCGCCUGGGGAGUACGGUCGCAAGGCUAAAACUCAAAGGAAUUGACGGGGGCUCACACAAGCGGUGGAGCAUGUGGCUUGAUUCGAAGCAACGCGAAGAACCUUAUCCUGGGUUUGACAUGUACGGAUGCCCUUCCUGAAAGGGAAGUAAGCUGCCCUCGUUGGUGAAACGUACACAGGUGCUGCAUGGCUGUCGUCAGCUCGUGCUGUGAAGUGUUGGGUUAAGUCCCUUAGCGAGCGAUACCCCUGUCGUUAGUUACCAGCGCGCCUUCGGGUGUCUGGGGACUCUAACGAGACUGCCGGUGUCAAAUCCGGUAGUAAGGCGGUGUUGACGUCAAGUCCUCAUGGCCUUUAUGCCCAGGGCUGCACACGUGCUACAAUGGUACAUACAAAGCGAAGCGAUACCGUAAGGUGGAGCAAAUCGCAUAAAAUGUGCCCCAGUUCGGA
RNAcentral lists this ribosomal RNA (665 nucleotides) under uncultured Planctomycetota bacterium. Its description in RNAcentral is "bacterial SSU rRNA". It matches the Rfam family "Bacterial small subunit ribosomal RNA", at positions 651 to 1297 of the family's 1533-position model. Lineage: Bacteria; Pseudomonadati; Planctomycetota. The record is from RNAcentral.